UACGUAGGUGGCAAGCGUUAUCCGGAAUUAUUGGGUGUAAAGAGCGCGCAGGUGGUUGAUUAAGUCUGAUGUGAAAGCCCACGGCUUAACCGUGGAGGGUCAUUGGAAACUGGUCGACUUGAGUGCAGAAGAGGGAAGUGGAAUUCCAUGUGUAGCGGUGAAAUGCGUAGAGAUAUGGAGGAUCACCAGUGGCGAAGGCGGCUUCCUGGUCUGCAACUGACACUGAGGCGCGAAAGCGUGGGGAGCAAACAGGA
Molecule: ribosomal RNA, 254 nt
Filed under: uncultured prokaryote
Description: partial 16S ribosomal RNA
Rfam family: Bacterial small subunit ribosomal RNA
Source: RNAcentral